AUGCUCACUUCAUCAGCACAUAUAUUAAAAUUAGAACAACACAGAGAAGAUUAGUAUGGCCCCUGUGUAAGGAUGACACAUAAAUUCAUGAAGCUUUCCAUAUUUUU
This is a small nuclear RNA of Diceros bicornis minor, 107 nucleotides long. NCBI's taxonomy places the organism in Eukaryota, Metazoa, Chordata, Mammalia, Perissodactyla, Rhinocerotidae. The record is from RefSeq and is a predicted model, not a curated record.